Molecule: ribosomal RNA, 486 nt
Filed under: uncultured bacterium
Lineage: Bacteria
Description: SSU rRNA
Rfam family: Bacterial small subunit ribosomal RNA
Source: RNAcentral
AGAUUGAACGCUGGCGGCAUGCCUUACACAUGCAAGUCGAACGGUAACAGGUUAAGCUGACGAGUGGCGAACGGGUGAGUAAUAUAUCGGAACGUGCCCAGUAGUGGGGGAUAGCCCGGCGAAAGCCGGAUUAAUACCGCAUACGACCUACGGGUGAAAGCGGGGGAUCGCAAGACCUCGCGCUAUUGGAGCGGCCGAUAUCAGAUUAGCUUGUUGGCGGGGUAAAAGCCCACCAAGGCGACGAUCUGUAGCUGGUCUGAGAGGACGACCAGCCACACUGGGACUGAGACACGGCCCAGACUCCUACGGGAGGCAGCAGUGGGGGAAUUUUGGACAAUGGACGAAAGUCUGAUCCAGCCAUGCCGCGUGCGGGAAGAAGGCCUCGGUUGUAACGCUUUGUCAGGAGAAAGUCUCGGGUUAAUACCUUGGGAUGAUGACGGUACCUGAAGAAUAAGCACCGGCUAACUACGCGCCAGCAGCCGCGGU